CCUACGGGUGGCAGCAGUGAGGAAUAUUGGUCAAUGGCCGCAGGGCUGAACCAGCCAAGUCGCGUGAGGGAUGACGGUCCUAUGGAUUGUAAACCUCUUUUGUCAGGGAGCAAAGGGCGCCACGUGUGCCGCUUUGCGAGUACCUGAAGAAAAAGCAUCGGCUAACUCCGUGCCAGCAGCCGCGGUAAUACGGAGGAUGCGAGCGUUAUCCGGAUUUAUUGGGUUUAAGGGGUGCGCAGGCGGAGGUGCAAGUCAGCGGUAAAAUUGCGGGGCUCAACCCCGUACUGCCGUUGAAACUGCAUCCCUUGAGUGCGCGAGAAGUAUGCGGAAUGCGUGGUGUAGCGGUGAAAUGCAUAGAUAUCACGCAGAACUCCGAUUGCGAAGGCAGCAUACCGGAGCGCAACUGACGCUCAUGCACGAAAGCGUGGGUAUCGAACAGGAUUAGAUACCCGGGUAGUC
RNAcentral lists this ribosomal RNA (459 nucleotides) under uncultured bacterium. RNAcentral describes it as "partial 16S ribosomal RNA". It matches the Rfam family "Bacterial small subunit ribosomal RNA", at positions 338 to 795 of the family's 1533-position model. The record is from RNAcentral.